AGUGAACGCUGGCGGUAGGCCUAACACAUGCAAGUCGAACGGCAGCACAGUAAGAGCUUGCUCUUACGGGUGGCGAGUGGCGGACGGGUGAGGAAUACAUCGGAAUCUACUUUUUCGUGGGGGAUAACGUAGGGAAACUUACGCUAAUAUCGCAUACGACCUACGGGUGAAAGCAGGGGAUCUUCGGACCUUGCGCGAUUGAAUGGGCCGAUGUCGGAUUAGCUAGUUGGCGGGGUAAAGGCCCACCAAGGCGACGAUCCGUAGCUGGUCUGAGAGGAUGAUCGGCCACACUGGAGGUGAGACACGGUCCAGACUCCUACGGGAGGCAGCAGUGGGGAAUAUUGGACAGUGGGCGCAAGCCUGAUCCAGCCAUACCGCGUGGGUGAAGAAGGCCUUCGGGUUGUAAAGCCCUUUUGCUGGGAAAGAAAAGCAGCAGGUUAAUACCCCGCUGUUCUGACGGUACCCAAAGAAUAAGCACCGGCUAACUUCGUG
This 492-nucleotide ribosomal RNA is filed under the name uncultured bacterium. Its description in RNAcentral is "partial 16S ribosomal RNA". It matches the Rfam family "Bacterial small subunit ribosomal RNA", at positions 29 to 507 of the family's 1533-position model. The record is from RNAcentral.